AACGAACGCUGGCGGCAUGCCUAACACAUGCAAGUCGAACGAGACCUUCGGGUCUAGUGGCGCACGGGUGCGUAACGCGUGGGAACCUGCCCUUAGGUUCGGAAUAACUCCCCGAAAGGGGUGCUAAUACCGGAUAAUGUCUUCGGACCAAAGAUUUAUCGCCUUUGGAUGGGCCCGCGUUGGAUUAGCUAGUUGGUAGGGUAAAAGCCUACCAAGGCGACGAUCCAUAGCUGGUCUGAGAGGAUGAUCAGCCACACUGGGACUGAGACGCGGCCCAGACUCCUACGGGAGGCAGCAGUGGGGAAUAUUGGACAAUGGGCGAAAGCCUGAUCCAGCAAUGCCGCGUGAGUGAUGAAGGCCUUAGGGUUGUAAAGCGCUUUUACCCGGGAUGAUAAUGACAGUACCGGGAGAAUAAGCUCCGGCUAACUCCGUG
RNAcentral lists this ribosomal RNA (433 nucleotides) under uncultured bacterium. RNAcentral's name for it is "partial 16S ribosomal RNA". It matches the Rfam family "Bacterial small subunit ribosomal RNA", at positions 29 to 507 of the family's 1533-position model. The record is from RNAcentral.